This 393-nucleotide ribosomal RNA is filed under the name uncultured bacterium. RNAcentral describes it as "bacterial SSU rRNA". It matches the Rfam family "Bacterial small subunit ribosomal RNA", at positions 411 to 793 of the family's 1533-position model. The record is from RNAcentral.
AAGGCCUUCGGGUUGUUAAAGUACUUUCAGCAGUGAGGAAGGUGGGUAUGUUAAUAGCAUACUCUAUUUUGACGUUAGCUGCAGAAGAAGCACCGGCUAACUCCGUGCCAGCAGCCGCGGUAAUACGGAGGGUGCGAGCGUUAAUCGGAAUUACUGGGCGUAAAGCGCAUGCAGGUGGUUUGUUAAGUCAGAUGUGAAAGCCCGGGGCUCAACCUCGGAAUUGCAUUUGAAACUGGCAAACUAGAGUACUGUAGAGGGGGUAGAAUUUCAGGUGUAGCGGUGAAAAUGCGUAGAGAUCUGAAGGAAUACCGGUGGCGAAGGCGGCCCCCUGGACAGAUACUGACACUCAGAUGCGAAAGCGUGGGGAGCAAACAGGAUUAGAUACCCUGGUAG